This 1672-nucleotide long non-coding RNA is filed under the name Equus caballus (horse). RNAcentral describes it as "lncRNA (ENSECAG00000053663.1)". Lineage: Eukaryota; Metazoa; Chordata; Mammalia; Perissodactyla; Equidae. The record is from RNAcentral.
GGGACCUGAUAUGGCAGUUCCUUGAUGUGGGGAGUGUCUUUGCAUCCAGAAAGCCCCGGGGCUGGGGUUCUGGCUUGGUCUUGGAAGGGGUUCUGGGGUGGACUUGGGGGUGCUAUUUGCAAGUUAGAAGCCGAGGCUGGAGUUCUGCGGGGCCUGAGGCUGGGGCUCCGAUCUGCGGGACCCGGGGUCGCUGUCUGCAAUCUGGGCUGGUGACGGCAGGCCCGCAGGGGGGCCCGGAGGGGGCCCGGAGGUCCUACCUGGCGAGUAGAGCGCGGCUAGCUCGCGGGCCCCGGCAUGCUGCGCGCCCCAGCGCCGGCCAUACGCCGCCUCGUCCUCGUCGAGCUCCGGCUGCUGGCCCGGCCCAUCCUCGGCGCCCGCCAUGGCCCCUCGCCCGGCCCGCCUGGCACGCUCCGCUAGCGCUGCUGGCGGCGGCGGCGGCAGGGCCGCGGAAUCGCGGCGAGAUCACGCCGCCCAAUGACUGCCCAGCGCCGGGCGCGGCGGCGGCGCCGGCAGCCGCCUCGCCCGGCCGCGCGUCACAGCCAAUCGGGGCCCGCGCCGGGGCCGCGCCGGCCAAUCAGCGGCCGCCGAGCCGCAGCCAACCGCGGCGCGCGGGGGGCAGGGCCACAGCUGGGCGCAGCUGGGCGCGGAAGCGCAUCUCCGCGGGCUGCCCUGCGCCCCCGGGCCGGCCCGGCCCGGUCCGCCUCCCCGACACGCGCGGGCCGGCACCGCCCACCAUGGGCUCGGCCGCUGGGCCUGCGCAGUGGGCCGGAGUUGUGCGCCGCCGCGCCCAGAAACGGGCCUGUUUUCAGCCCGCACCGCCAAGCGCCUACUGUGUGCAAGGAGCGCGAGCGGAGGGCGCGGGGACGGGGCCAGGGAGCCCUCGCUUGGAGGACUCUUUGAAUAGUGCUCCCUAGCUGGGGCCGGUUUGCGCUGGGCUGCCUUAUGGAGCCUCACCACCUGCAGAGAUGACGAGGACCGUGCGUACACCUACUGGGUGCCGGCUUGUGCUGUGCGCCCUGGGGAGGAGAAACGUCGAGCCUGACCCCCAGGAGCUCCUGUUCUCCCCAGGGAGAGGACAGUAAACCGAUGAGAAUGACCCUAAGAGUCACUGUAAGAUUUGGACCCCUCUGGCUGCAGGUGGGCGAUGGCCUCAGGGACUGUGCAGAGGCAGGAGACCAGGGAGGCGGUGACUGCGAUAGUUCCGGUCGGAGAGGAUGGAGGGCAGACCAGGGUGACCACGGAGGAACUGAUUGCUGUGCUCACUUGUGACCACCCAGCUCACCUGUGACCACCCAGCUGGAGACAACAGACCUGCUCCCUGCUGUGUCCAUCCAUUGCUGUGCCGACAGAGCGGUCUCGUGACUAUUGUAAAAGGGACUUUUCAAUCAUAUGUGAAACAUGGUCUUUGAGGGUAUCUAACCACUCCGUACACCCCACUUCUUUGGUUCCCUUCCUUCCUUGGGGAGGGAAGGCCCCGGGCUGUAUGGUCCUCACAUUUUGGCUCAGAAUAAACUCACCCCAAUUUUCAUUUAUAGAGUGGUCAUGGGUUAUUUGCAUCGACAGGGUGAAGGUCGAGAGCAGUGAUGGGCAGUGGGAGGGGCUCAGCCUUUGAGGUUGGGGUCUCACACUGUGUUUCUUUUUAUUUUUAUUUUUUUAAAGAUUUUAUUUUUUU